CUGCCCAAUGAGUAUUGAAUGGCUGCAGUAUUUUGACUGUGCUAAGGUAGCAAAAUAAUUUGCUUUUUAAUUGGAAGCUGGGAUGAAAGAUUUAAUAAGGUUUAUUUGUCUUAUAUUUUUGAGAGGAAUUUUCAGUACAAGUAAUAAUGCUUGUGAGUAAUAAUGGGACGAUAAGACCCUAAAAGCUUUAAUUUGAUAGGAUAAUAUAAUAUAUAAUAUAAUUUUUGCUGGGGAAGUAGUUUAAGAAAAGUUUAUAUAAAAAUAAACCUUAUAAAGGGAUAAUGAUCUUUUAAAUAAAGAUAGGUAGUUAUAGUUACUUUAGGGAUAACAGCAUAAUAGUUUUGGGAAGAUCAUAUUUAUAAAACUGAUUGUGACCUCGAUGUUGAAUUAAAAAUUCUGUUAGUAGAAGAAGAUAUACGAGAAGGUUUGUUCAACCUUUAAAAUUUUACGUGAUCUGAGUUCAGACCGGA
RNAcentral lists this ribosomal RNA (470 nucleotides) under Maarrka etheli. RNAcentral describes it as "partial 16S ribosomal RNA". It matches the Rfam family "Bacterial large subunit ribosomal RNA", at positions 1859 to 2620 of the family's 2925-position model. The record is from RNAcentral. Lineage: Eukaryota; Metazoa; Arthropoda; Malacostraca; Amphipoda; Paramelitidae.